AUGUGUAUUUGCUUCCAAGCAGUGGUCUCAGGAAGCACCAAAUCAAGAGGAUCUCGCAAUGUAAAUCCAAAAGACAUCACACCCGCACUGAGGAAUGCAACUAAUUUGCAACGACACUCUCUUGGUGAUAUCUCUAACGUUGACAUGCAUUUCCAAAGGAUCACAGGUACAGAGCUCUUUAUCAUAUGUGCCUUGCGACUCACCACCUUAUCAUGUAUAGGCUUGCCUUGUUUUGGUUAUGUUUUUAAUUUGAUUGAACAUGUAUUUGCUUUCAAACAGUGGUCGCAACAAGCAGCAAAUCAAAAGGACCUCGCAAUGAGAAUUCAAAAAACAUCACACCCGCACCGGGGAAUGCAACAAAUUUGCAACGACACCCUCUUGGUGAUGUCUCUAAUGUUGACAUGCAUUCCCAAAUGGGUUCAUGUAUGUUACCCCGUAUCAUAUGUGCCUUGCGAAUCAGCACCUUAUCGUAUGUGUUCUAUUUUUAUUUGA
RNAcentral lists this ribosomal RNA (492 nucleotides) under Triticum aestivum (bread wheat). Its description in RNAcentral is "partial small subunit ribosomal RNA". The record is from RNAcentral. Lineage: Eukaryota; Viridiplantae; Streptophyta; Magnoliopsida; Poales; Poaceae.